This 785-nucleotide ribosomal RNA is filed under the name uncultured bacterium. Its description in RNAcentral is "bacterial SSU rRNA". It matches the Rfam family "Bacterial small subunit ribosomal RNA", at positions 8 to 796 of the family's 1533-position model. The record is from RNAcentral.
AGAGUUUGAUCCUGGCUCAGGAUGAACGCUAGCGGGAGGCUUAACACAUGCAAGUCGAGGGGUAUUGUAGCAAUACAUUAGACCGGCGCACGGGUGAGUAACGCGUAUGCAACCUGCCGUUAACCGGGGGAUAGCCCGUCGAAAGGCGGAUUAAUACCCCAUAAUAUUGGGAUUCUGCAUGGGAUUUCAAUUAAAGCUGAGGUGGUUAACGAUGGGCAUGCGUGACAUUAGCUAGUUGGUAGGGUAACGGCCUACCAAGGCUACGAUGUCUAGGGGUUCUGAGAGGAAGGUCCCCCACACUGGUACUGAGACACGGACCAGACUCCUACGGGAGGCAGCAGUGAGGAAUAUUGGUCAAUGGGCGAGAGCCUGAACCAGCCAUCCCGCGUGCAGGAAGACGGCCCUAUGGGUUGUAAACUGCUUUUGCGCAUGAAGAAUGUUACCGACGUGUCGGUAAGUGACGGUAAUGCGUGAAUAAGCAUCGGCUAACUCCGUGCCAGCAGCCGCGGUAAUACGGAGGAUCCGAGCGUUAUCCGGAUUUAUUGGGUUUAAAGGGUGCGUAGGUGGUUUGAUAAGUCAGCGGUGAAAGUUUGCAGCUUAACUGUAAAAAUGCCGUUGAAACUGUCGGACUUGAGUGUAAAUGAGGUAGGCGGAAUGCGUGGUGUAGCGGUGAAAUGCAUAGAUAUCACGCAGAACUCCGAUUGCGAAGGCAGCUUACUAAGCUACAACUGACACUGAAGCACGAAAGCGUGGGGAUCAAACAGGAUUAGAUACCCUGGUAGUCG